CAUUAAAAGGUAAAUGCAAUUUUAUUGAUUACACCACGAAAUAUUUGUUUACACCGUGAAUCAUAAAAUAAUAAUACGACAUGAUGAAUGAUAAUUUAAUCACCGUCUUAGAAUAUAUGGUCGGGACGCAGGACUAUCAACCGCAGCCUGUCUAUCAAGAGACAAUAUUAAUGCCUAUUUAAUCCGCUAUUACAGCUAUUUGAAUAGUGUGAUGGGUAUCACAUUGUGUGCAUAU
This is a non-coding RNA of Cinara cedri, 235 nucleotides long. The record is from the annotation of a GenBank genome assembly. NCBI's taxonomy places the organism in Eukaryota, Metazoa, Arthropoda, Insecta, Hemiptera, Aphididae.